Molecule: long non-coding RNA, 5681 nt
Filed under: Medicago truncatula (barrel medic)
Lineage: Eukaryota; Viridiplantae; Streptophyta; Magnoliopsida; Fabales; Fabaceae
Description: long non-coding RNA (MTRU_LNC006252)
Source: RNAcentral
CUUCUUUUGGCGGAGUUCUUGUUUGUCAAUUUUUUCUUUCGGUCUGAUAUAAGAAGAUUCAAAUCACUGCUGUGUUCUGAUAGACCGGAAAUUGAGUGGUAGUCGAAGCUGAACGUUUGAAGCAAAUUCACUAUCGGAUGCCAAAUUGAUCAGUGUUGGUACUGGUGGUUUUUCGGUGUAUUUAUUUUCUCUUUUUGGUGUAAACCUGGGAUUUAAUCCCUUUGUAUAUAUAAUAUAAUUUGCCAUUAAAAAAAAAAACUAUUGUGUUCUGAUAUAAUAUUUGGGCUUUUACUCUUUAUAAGUCUAUGUGAGAAAGUGUUAGAUCUAUAGCUUUGAGUAGAGAUGAUUCUGAUUUAAUUUGGUGCUGGAAGAAUUAUUCCUUCAAUAAUUUGCUAAAGUCAAAUUGGAGAAGCUUUGGAUAUCUGAUUGCAUGUUGAAUGUUUGGUUUUUCCAGAUUUUUUUUUUAUUCAAUCGUGAUUUGGGUUGCAUGUAUUUAGAAACUUACUUUUAUGAUUUUGAGGGUUUGAUUUGUUGUUUGGUGAUUUCGGUUUGUGGUUUGGCUGGUUGUUGCAUGUCUCUAAAACUGAAGUGUUUGGCUUUGUUGUUUGUUGAUUCUGGGUUGUUUUUGUUUUGAUUCUGUUUUUAGUGUGGUUUUAUUUUUGUUUGUGAUAUUUCUAUACAUGUAACUUGUGAAAAAAUUGAAUCUUUUGAGAUUAAAUCAUACUUAGUGUAAAUUGCACACAAGGUGUUUGUGAAAUUUAUUAAAAUUGGUGAUACAUGAAUUGGACUUAAAAAUUGAUGUCACAGAAAUAUUUUUGCUUUUUGCAAUAUUAGAAUGAAAAAUUCAAUGAUGAAAACUUAAUGUUGUAGACAGAAAAUUCAUGAUACAUUGAGUGAAAAUUCAUGCCCUGAUUAAUGAUGUUGUUCUUUGUUUUGUUUUGGUGUUGGAUAGUUCAUGCAAAGAGCAGCUGCAAGAGAAGAGAAAGUAGAAGAAGAGGUCAAGCAUGAUGUUAGUUUUGGUUCAACCCCAAUAAUUUCUAGAAAAUGGUAAUUUUUUUUUCUUUCAAUAAAUUCAAAAAUGUGUAUUUUUAUUUUAUUUUUUUAUGCACAUAAAAAAAUAUUUUGAAUUUGAUUUGCUAAAUUGAAAUGUAAGUUGUAUGAUCCUUUUGAAAACGAGGGUGGCAUUUAGCUUGGACCAGUUGAAGAAUUGGGACCAAUUUUUUUAAUGUUUAGAUUAGACAAUCCACCAAAUCUUAUCAGUUAUCAUACUCUACCCACACCCUAUCUAAGCCAUCACCAACUCUAUCUCCUUCCUUGCUCUUUCUCUCUCUUGGUACUUUUUUCAUUUGUUUCUUAUUAUUCCAUUUUUAUAUCAAUACUAUUCAACAACUCCCAUGUAGUUCCAUUGAAAGGGUGAUGGUUUCAAAUAAGUAGUCAUACCAAUAUAUAGCUAAAUCACAUAAUUAUUAUGGUCAUUGAUUGAAACUGAUCUUAAGCACAUAAGAACUUUUUUAUGGAUUAUUCCUCUCAUAGGAUAAUAUUAAUGUAAUGUUUCUACGUGAUUUCUUUGCCUGCUCUGGCACAUAGGGAGAAGGAAAUUACCAAAGCUUUGAAAUGAACUAGUGCACAACCGUGAAAUGGAAUUUUUUUCAAACUUUGAAAGCCGAGUUCAAGAAGAUUCUUUGAUGAUUACUCUCCUUUUACCAAAAAAUAAGGCUAAAAUAUGGUUUUAGUCCCUGCAAAUAUGCCUCGUUUUGGUUUUAGUCCCUGGUAAAAAAAAAAAAUUGAUUUUGGUCCCUACAAAAUUUUUUGUUUUUGAAAAUAGUCCCUGAGGGACUAUUUUCAAAAACAAAAAAUUUUACAGGGACCUUUUUUAAAAACAAAAUAUUUUGCAGGGACCAAAAACUAUAAAAUUGGUUCAGUUAUAAUGUGUCACGUAUGCAAAUCAUCACAAAAGUGGGGUCAGGGACUAUUUUCAAAAACAAAAAAUUUUGCAUGGACCAAAAACAAUUUUUUUUUUUACCAGGGACUAAAACCAUAUUUUAGCCAAAAAAAUAAGUUAGAUUGAGAGGAGUACAUUUGAAUUGAAACUCAAAUAGCAGGUAAAUCUAAAAUAAAAAAACUGCAAGUUCCAUGUUGUUUCCACUACUGAUUUUUUUUUUGUGUACAAACGAGUGGAAUUUUUAACUGUUUUUAUAAUUUAAGAAAAUAUUUUGCAAAAAAAGUGCCAAAAUUAAUAUUAAAAAGUAUGUCCAAUCCAAUUGAAAAUACAGUUGAAAUCUGAUUAUGAUAACCAAAAUAUAAGCUUCUAUAGAGUUUUUUUCCAGUUUGAUAGAGUUUGCAAAAGAGAGAUAAAGUUGAUGUGGUGUGGGUUAAAAUAUUGAUAGGACAUGAUAAGUUUUGGUGGAGUGCUAAAAUCUAACCAUGAAAAAAAUAGGUCCAUUAUGGACCAACUUUUUUACAGGUCCAUUAAGAGAACUGUUCAACCAUACUUCAGAGAGUAAUAUGCUUAUUUAUGGGAACUUAAACUUAUUUAUCUUUUAACUGGUCAAUGUAUCAAUAAAGAAGACAUAUACCAAUUGAAUGAGUGACUAAGUAUAAUCAGUAUAUAUAUGCUUUGUAAUGUUAUAAUUCUACCAGGUUUAGUUUACAUGAGCUAUUGAAUAUUAGAGCCUAUGUAUCAACACUAUGACUCACUCUAAAUCUCUAAUUAGUUUUUUUCUUCAGAAAAAAUGAUUGGGUAGGAAUAGGAUAUCAUAAAUUCUAAGCCAGUGCUGUCAAAUAAGCGCUCUAUACACUACAAGAAAACACUUGAUUUCCUAGGAAAAAAUUCCUCGGAAAACACACCUAUUUCGUCUUAAAGCACUGUUUUCCUAGGGAUUAUCGAGGAAACUAGUUGUAGGAAAUUUUGGAUCUAUUCCUACGAGUUUUUCGAGGAAUUUCCGAGGAAAUGAUGUUUUCGAUGAAUUUGCCGAGGAAAGUUUGGUAGGAAAGCAUUUUGCAGACUGUCAAAACUGACACACGCUUUCCGACGAAAUUUUGGUAGGAAAGCAUUUUGCAGAAUGUCAUCACUGACACACGCUUUCCGACGAAACUUUCUUAGGAUAAAUUCAUAUUUAAAAACGAAAUUAAGAUCCAAAUUUUGAUUUUGAAAAAGGCGCCAAAUAAUUCAAAAGAUGUGCCAAAAUAUUUGGCGCCAAAAUUUCAGAAAAAAUCAAAUUUAAAAAAAAAAAUGAAAAUAAAUAAAGUGCGCCAAAAUUUCAAAAACAACCAAUUUUUUUUUGAGAAUUUGUUUCCUAUAAACACAUAAUGUUAGAUAAUAAUUACAUAAAACAAAAUUCAUAAAGACAACUAGAAUUUUCUUUGACAGUGGUACAUCACCACUGCAAACCACAUAAAACACCCCAAAAGUGCCCCAAAUCAGUCCCUAACCAAAAAACCUGCUAAAAACAACACCGAAAUACACAACAAGAAUAUAUAUUACUCGCUAUGAUCAUCAUCCCUCUCCUCGUCCUCAUCAUCAUCAAUGUUGUCGUCGUCAUGUGUUCGGUCUUCUUGAACCGACGGUGAUGAUUGACUCGAUGGCGACGAUGAUUCUGAUGUUUUCCUACUCUUCAUGCCACCCAUCCUUUUUGUAACCAUCCUUUUGACUCAUUCUCUGAUUCUUCUUUCUUUGCCAACGCCUCCUUUUGAGAUUGCAACUCUUGGUUCAUUCGUUGUAUCAUUGUUUGCAUCUCAAGAGGCAGCUCUCUAGAACGAGAUGAGGACUCUGGUGGAGGAGUGUAACGCCCUAUUUAAUUAUUUAAUUUAUUUUGCCUGAUUGUGGUUCUUUUAUAUGACUUACAUGAAUUAUGUUGAUUUUGUGGUGUGUUGUAUUUUAUUAAAUGAUGUAUUUUUAUUAUUUAUUAGAAUAUGUGAGAAUUAGAAAUAAUUGGAGUUUAGAGGCUAAAUUAGAAAUAAGGAGAGUUGUGUGGAGUUAAUUAAAAUAAUUGGGAGUUAAGAUAAGAGAGAAGUUAGAAAAACAGUUUCACGUAGAAACAAGCUUUUGGGAGAAAAAGGGAGAAGAGCCAAGAUAGCCAAGUGAAGAACCGGAGAGAUUGUAGAGUUUUGUUCAUCUGAUUUAAAGUAAGGGUGAGGCUAACUCUCAAUAAUCAUAGUGUAUAUAAAUUCUGAGAUUGAUUUAACAUGUGGGUUGUUUUUGAUUUUGGGAAUUGGGAAUUAGGUUUUUCAAUUGUUGAAUUUUGAUUAGAAAAGUGUAGAAACCGUGGCAAUUGUUAGAAUGUGUUCAGGUUAUAGGUAGAAUCAUAUAACAUUGUUGUAAUCAGUUUUGGGGAUUGAAUUGGGGAAAAUUGGGGCUUUUGGUGAAAAACUGCAGAAUUCACGUAGUCAGACCUGACACAGCUCGCCAUGGCGAGUAAGCUGACUCGCCUGGCGAGUAAGCCAUUUCAUCGCUCGCCACAGCGAAUGAUUGCUCGCCAUUGCGAGUUAACCGGUAGGUGAAAUCAUGAUUUUUAAAAUGUUGUUUUUAGGUCGUGUUUUGGAUGGUUUUGACUGCCUUGACAUGUAUAGAAAGGACUAGGCAAGUUUUUGGAUCAAAAAGGGGAUUAGAGAGCUUAAAAAUGGGGAUUUGGUGUGAAAAUAAUCAAAUGGCCGAGAGCAAGCAGUUUCUGCUCGCCACGACGAACAACUUACUUGCCAUGGCGAAUCACCCAUUUUCUUGAGCUGGCCAUAGCGAGCAGUGCUCUCGCCUGGCGAAUUUCUCAAUGGCUGAAGCCACAUUUUGUGUUUUGUGUACCUUGACGUGCGUGCUGUUUAGUUGAUUCUUUUGGUUAUAAUAAUGAUUAUAUAUGACUACAUUAUUUUACCAAGAACAUGAUUGAUUAUUGAUUAAUGAAUUAUAUAUAUGACCAUGUGAAUAUAUACUACGUUGAUGAAUGUCGUUGUUAAAAGUCGUUGUGCCGCAGUUGACCAAGUUGUGGAGUAAGUCUGAUUAUUUAUGCAUAGUUGUUGUUGUCUUCGUCGUUGUCCACAUUGUCGUUGAUGUUGCUGAGUUGUAUGUUGAUAUACACAAAGUCGAGUCCAUUGCAUACUCAUUUUUUGUUGAGGGCUCAUGCCCUGUGAAUGCUAGUUCAUUCAAAAUUGUUGAGGGCUUAUGCCCUGUGAAUGCUCGUUCAUUCAAACACGUUGAAAUGGUACCACAUGCAUGUUGCAUUGUCGCAUUAGUCGUGUGUCGUUGCAUAGUCGUCGUUGUUGUUGUUGUUGGUUGAGUUGUCGGUGUUGUUGUGUUGAUUAAGUAUGAAACAUUACUGUUGAAUAUCUGUUAUUAAUUAUGUUGUUAGAUAUAGUUGAUGAUUUAUAUAUCUAUUAUUAUUGUUUGUGAAUCUCACCCCUUCAGCUUGGAAAUUGUUGCCUUUGCAUGGGUAACUUGCAGGUGACCAAGAAUAGUUGCAGUCGUGAGUGGAUUCUCUCGCGUGUGUCUUAGGUGCUCUGGUACGUAACGGGAUGGGAAUUUUAUUGUUGUUUUCUGUUCGUUACGUAUUAAUCAAUGAACUUUCAUGAACAUGUUGUUGGAAUAAAUUUUAUGAGAUUUUACCGUUGAGGCCUUUGUGCCAAGGUUUUUUAGAUGUUGAAUAAUUUCCGCUGCGAUGUAAUAAAUGAUAUGUUGUUGAAGUUGAAUUAAU